RNAcentral lists this non-coding RNA (200 nucleotides) under unclassified sequences. RNAcentral's name for it is "IS605-orfB-I RNA". It matches the Rfam family "IS605-orfB-I RNA". The record is from Rfam by way of RNAcentral.
UCUGGAUAAACUUGUAUCCAUCCAAGAGAAUGGAGUAAGUCACUUUACGGAAAUUAAAAUAAGUAAAACAUUUUAGGGUUGACAAAGACUUACUAUAAGUGAAAUUCUGAAAUAUCAGGAUAACCGUAUGUCCUUUAGCACUGUUUGUGUUAUAAAAAUAAUCUUAAAUAACUUUGAUUAAGUUUUUGAGUUACGGUUCU